This is a long non-coding RNA of Ictalurus punctatus (channel catfish), 957 nucleotides long. Lineage: Eukaryota; Metazoa; Chordata; Actinopteri; Siluriformes; Ictaluridae. The record is from Ensembl.
CGCCACGGGUAUACUGAAAAUCUUUUGGGUUAUUAUUUUUUUUUUUGUCUUUAUUGUUAAUAUUUUUCUUGCUAUAUACUAUAAUGUUUUUUUUUUUAGCAAGGCCCCAAAAACCAUCCUACCACUUUUUGAUUUGUGCCCAAAUACACUUUACAAAUACCCAUACAAGUUCCUGUGAAUCCUGUAAGUUUCUCUUAAGUUAUUUUAACCCGGAUCAUUUCAGUGUAUAUUUUAUUAUAAUAUAACUAACGACUGUUUGUUCGGCGCAGGUGUGAUCACGAAGCUCCUGGAGGCUCUGAGAAAUUUGCAUUUAUUUGACACACUUCUAAAGGUCGCCAAUGAUUUAGAGACGUGUUUUUGAGAGAAAACACAUUUAAGGACAGUUCCAGCCCUGAUAUCAUCCUGAUACAUCUCCUAGCGACUCGUCCAUGAUAUCCAUACUUGAAGAUUGGAAGAACUGUCUUGAAGGCUCUCCAUUUACAAACCAUCCGUCUCACUGCAGAAUGAUGAAUUUCAAAUUGUUUGGAGACGGCCUUAUAACCCUUCCCGGACUGAUGAGCAGCAACAGUCGCUUCUCUGAGCUCGUGGCUGAUGUCCUUUCACUUCAGUGUUCCAGAACGCCAACCUGCCAAAAGUUCUUGCUUUUAUCGAGGUAGUCGUGGUUCUUGAUGAUGAACUAAUAUCGUUUCAUGUGCAUUUCAUUAGUAACACCUGGCUGCUUAUUACUCUCUUAAUCGCACCGUUCGUUGUCACCCAGAUGAACACGGGUUCCUUUCUGAGCCUGGAUCCUGAAAUCUUCUAAAAUCUUAUCACUGAAUAUCAUUUUAUUACCCUUAUGUUUUAUGUGUUUGACUUUUAUGACUUUAUAUCUACAUUUGUGUUUUAAAAGAAAAAUAAUUACAAUUCAAUAACUAAAAAUAAAUAAUAAUAAUAAUAAUAAAACACUGAAUUUUUUUU